RNAcentral lists this ribosomal RNA (492 nucleotides) under uncultured bacterium. RNAcentral's name for it is "partial 16S ribosomal RNA". It matches the Rfam family "Bacterial small subunit ribosomal RNA", at positions 29 to 507 of the family's 1533-position model. The record is from RNAcentral.
AGUGAACGCUGGCGGUAGGCCUAACACAUGCAAGUCGAACGGCAGCACAGUAAGAGCUUGCUCUUACGGGUGGCGAGUGGCGGACGGGUGAGGAAUACAUCGGAAUCUACUUUUUCGUGGGGGAUAACGUAGGGAAACUUACGCUAAUACCGCAUACGACCUACGGGUGAAAGCAGGGGAUCUUCGGACCUUGCGCGAUUGAAUGAGCCGAUGUCGGAUUAGCUAGUUGGCGGGGUAAAGGCCCACCAAGGCGACGAUCCGUAGCUGGUCUGAGAGGAUGAUCAGCCGCACUGGAACUGAGACACGGUCCAGACUCCUACGGGAGGCAGCAGUGGGGAAUAUUGGACAAUGGGCGCAAGCCUGAUCCAGCCGUACCGCGUGGGUGAAGAAGGCCUUCGGGUUGUAAAGCCCUUUUGUUGGGAAAGAAAAGCAGCAGGUUAAUACCCCGCUGUUCUGACGGUACCCAAAGAAUAAGCACCGGCUAACUUCGUG